Molecule: long non-coding RNA, 4363 nt
Organism: Humulus lupulus (European hop)
Lineage: Eukaryota; Viridiplantae; Streptophyta; Magnoliopsida; Rosales; Cannabaceae
Exons: 13
Source: RefSeq, a predicted model, not a curated record
CCCUCCUUGUUGUUUUCCUAUCAUCCAAAUCACUUUUUGUUUAUACUAACUUUUUCUUUACUCUUCUUACUCUCUCAAGCUCUUCCUUUCUUUGAAGCUCCCUCUUCUCUUUCUGACUAUCCCAUCUCGCUUGAAGGACGAAGAAUACAACUCUUCUCUCUCCAGUUCUUUGUUUUCCCUUUCGUUUGAAGACUAAUCACUCUGAGGUCAUAAGGAUGAAAAUGACCAAGAAUGAGGGCAUAAGCCAAGAAAGGGAAUGAUAUCUAGGAAUUGAACGAAAAGGGAGACAGUGUCAUGCUGCUGUGAGAGAAGUUAAGGAAGAAGAUAGAGCUCUGUAUGGAGUUUAUUAAAAAGAUGUUGAUCAGAGAAUGUUACGCCUAAGUGCCAUUAAAUCAAUUCCUACAGAUGCUAGACGAUCUCUUCCUCAAGAUGUUGAGAUUUCUACAAGCAUGUAUGGAUUUCUUUACAUGAUUCAGAGAAGGAUUCCCAUACAACUAGCUGCAAAUUAAAGUUGUAACAAAAAUCUUUCACCGAUGGAAUAGAGGUAUAAUAACUGCAUUUUUUUUUCUUCUGUUUUUGCUGGGUAAGCACUGACUUGAUUUCCAUUUCAUCAUCUUUUGUAUUUUACCUUUGAUGAGCAUGAUAUCUGGUCUGGUUAGAUUUUCUAUUGAUUGUGAUGCCUCCUGAUACAGGUUUUGAUGCACAUGCAUAUUGUAAUGAUCACAUAUGGUAGUUCUAAAGGAAGUAGUUCGUUCAUGUGGUCACUGUGUGUUUCAUAUUGAGUUUAUUCGAUUCUUCGUUUUUAUUUGUUAAUUUGUCUUAAGGAAGAGGGUGUGUAUAUAUAUAUAUGUGUAUCCCUUUUAGUCUUGUUUAAUGUGGUCACUGUGUGUUUCAUAUGUGUAUUAUUUAUUAUUUUUAAGGGGGGUGUUCUUGAUGAUUAUGCAAACCUGUGUAAGAAUUAGGAACACAUUUAAGAUUUCCAUUUAUUCCUGGCCAUUGAAUUUAUUACUUGAGAUCCAUCUUCUCAUCACGGCCUUUUUACAUGUAUGAAGUUAAGAGUAAAGUAGAAAUUUGGAUAAUUAAAGUACAUUACAACUUAGUACCAUAUUUUUAAAGGUUUGUUUUCUUUACAGUUGCAGAUUAUAAACCAAUCUUUAGAGCAUAACAUAGUAUGUUCCUAUACUGUGGUUGUUGGUGGUGUUGUCAGUGGAUUUUGUAGUAUAUUUCAUAGGAAUCAAAAAAAUGAGAAAACGUCAUUUUACCUUGAUUGAUUGGUUUCUUGGAACCACAAAAUGAGUGAUUAUUGUUUUGGUUUUUUUAUUAAUUUUCUUAAGAAACAAGCAGAGGUAUUGUUUGUGGUUUAAGGCCUUGUUUGUUUGUUGAGAAACUGGGGGAGAAUUCUUCACUUGUUCAAAGAUUCUGCAACCAAAGCAAUCCAACGAUGCAUGAUUUGAUUCUUUUGCUAUUCUUAUGUUGUUAUAUAUACAUGUUCUUACAAAUAAUUUUUUUUGUUUCUUCUUUAAAUUAUAUGAGAAAAGGACUACUAUGAAAGAAAACUUUUAACUCUGAAAUCUUUUGAGGAAGUUGACUCUAUAGUGCAAUCAGAAGGCAUUGAUGAAGAUGAUCUUGAUGAACAAGCUCAACAUGAAAGAGCCAUGAAGAUCUCUAAUUAGGCAAACAUAAUUCUCUUGGGACUUAAGAUCUAUGCUACUAUAAAGAGUGGGUCCAUAGCCAUUGCAGCAUCAACACUAGAUUCUUUGCUGGAUCUCAUGGCUGGUGGCAUACUUUGGUUCACUCACUUGUCAAUAAAAAGUAUAAAUAUUUAUAGAUACCCCAUUGGAAAAUUGAGGGUGCAGCCUGUUGGCAUAGUCAUUUUUGCUGCUAUCAUGGCGACACUAGGUACAAUCUGUAGCUUAAUUUGUUGAUAGUUUUCAUAGAUUUUUCUCUUUCUUGCUUCAUUUCUACAUUGAAGGCUGUUUGGCUUCCUUAGUGAACACAUAUAUCAUCUAGUGUGUUUUACUCUGUUUGUUACAGAGUAGAUAAAUUCAUGAGUCUAGGAUGAAACAAGGAAAAAAUAAAGCUUAUUGAGUGACUUUGUUUUAUUAAAUUUGUCUAAAGAAGACGUGUUAUUUUAUUCUAGAAAUUUUCUUUGGUCAUUUUCUGCCGGAAAUCUCUAAAGUAUAUGGUCAUGAUUGCCAACUACAGACACUUAUUAAGGAAUUAGAAGAGUUUUGACUAAGCAUUGGACAUGGUAAUGGUACAUAACCAAAUAAGAGGGACUUUUUCUGCUUAUCCUGCUGCUGCUCUUAGAGAAGAGUUUUCUGAAUAUAUAAUAAGGGGGAAAGAUGCUUAUAAAGUUAUAAUUUUACUGAAUAAAAAAUAUUAAGUGUAUGUUGGAGUUGCUUAGGAAGAAGAGAUUUGUUACAGGUAGGCAGCUGUAUAAUUAUAAAACCAACAAGUCAGUAAAUUAGCUUAUGUAAGCUUUGAAUUUUAGUGAGAUUUCAACUAAAGGAUUCGUCCGAGUAGUACCGCACUCUUGUAAGCUCUUGGAUUGAACCUUUGCAAGAAGAAGCUGAACUUGGAUAUGAGAUUGAUUAUGUGGCCAGGUGUGCAUAUAAAUAAUACUUUUGUUGAUGUAAAAUUUCAUUUUUCCCUCCUUUUUUUCAUGUUGAUUCACUUAUGUACUAACACAUAUUGGCUGUUUUUCUUCAUAUUUUGCUCAAUAUGUUCAGCUCCUAAUUGUGCAUUACAAGUUUACAACAAUGUCUCCAUCAAUUUUAUUCUCAUUGUUAGCACUUCAAAUUAUUCCUUUGUCUUAAAAUACUUGAAUGGAUCUCCUUGUUUGUCCAUUAACUUAGUGAAUUUGUUGGAUUCCAAUGCUCCUGUUGCUAUUUUCUUUUCCAUAAAUAAAGAAAACUUUAGGGGUAUUUGGCAAUUCUUUAUAAAUAAUUUGCUUGAAUUUUUGUGGCUGUGUUGUGAAUAUUCUGCAUCAAAAUAAUCAUCUCUAAAUUAUGAUCUGGCAUUUUACUUUUAAUUCAUUUGAUGAUGAUAUUUAACAGAUAUUAUGGAGAUGAAACCAUCAUUGUGCACUAUGAUUUUCAAACUUUGAAAUAUCAUUGGAAUUGUAAACUGUACAUAGGGCACAAAAUAAGAAAGGGAAUGUAUUCCGAAUUUGCUUCAUGUUUCUGAAGCUGUACGUGUAGUCUAUCUUAUCCCUCUGAUGAUAGUGCUUUACUUGCUAUUAAUUUUGUUGUGGUUUGCACAAGUACUUUAUCAACAAUGAAGGUUCAUGAUCUUUUGAAGCUUUACAAUGAAAUUGAUGUCCCUUCUGAGCGUUUGUUGUUCAAAAUUCCUUCAACUUGGGAAUAUAGGCUGCAAGAUUACUGGAAUCUAAGGGCAUACAAACUCAUUUGACUUUCGUAUACAGGCCAUACAGAUUGGCGCCACUAAAGUACUGUCAAUGCUGUUGAUGACAGCAGAUUUCUUGCCACCAUAUUUUUCUGCAAGCAACUUUGGUCUAGAUGAUAAACAGGUUGCUGAUUUGAAAGAAUGUGUAGGCUUUAUUAUACUAGAGCAAUCUGAAGAAAAUGAAGACUUGUUUGUUGCUAUCAUCAAUCUUUUCACUGCUGCUGCUUGUUAUCAGACUUUAUGGACGUCCAACCAGGUAAUGCUGGUGAUGGGAAGCUGCCAGCAAUUGAGGUUUCCUCUGGGCCAGGAGAGUCUAAAAGUUCAAGCCUUGUAGAUGCAGUACUUUGUUAUGUUGUAAAUUCUGAAAGUCAUAUCAAUAACAAACCCUUUGUGCUGCUUAAUGUACUCAACUUUUUAAAGGCAUCGUGGCAAAGGGCGGCUCAAUAUAUCAAUAUAUUGGCUAGGUUGAAAAGCUCUAAGAAGUUAUGGAAGCAAUUGUCAAAAUGCAUUUCACUAACUUCUCUGGAUUCUUUGCCUGAUAGCCUGAUUGAGAUGGAAGCUCUAAAUCUGGCAUACAAAUAUCAGUGUCAAUCUUCCAUAAUUUCUUGACAUGCUCUCUUUCUCCAUCAAUUGGAAACCUCACUAAGAGGCAAUACUUCAAAUAUUAUGAGCUUAGGCAUAAAUGCACUGUCAUUGGAGCUACCAAAGGAAUUGGGACAACUUACUGAGCUAUUAAGUUUAUGUGACAAGCUAAAUAGAAAAGGAUACUUAAUUUUGAAGGCUUUGUGUUGGGCAGCUGUAUAAUAUUUUGUGUUGAAAGUAGUAACUUUUCAAUUUGUUGAAUAUUUAAGACUACUUGAAUACUUAAAGAACAUUUUGUUGUUGAUGACAGUGUUGAAUGUUUUAAAUUAAUUUGUGGAUUGUUAAUACAAUGUUGAAUGUUUUUACUUUUUGU